UUAAGCGACUAAGCGUACACGGUGGAUGCCCUGGCAGUCAGAGGCGAUGAAGGACGUGCUAAUCUGCGAAAAGCGUCGGUAAGGUGAUAUGAACCGUUAUAGCCGGCGAUGUCCGAAUGGGGAAACCCAGUGCAAUUCGUUGCACUAUCGUUAACUGAAUACAUAGGUUAACGAGGCGAACCGGGGGAACUGAAACAUCUAAGUACCCCGAGGAAAAGAAAUCAACCGAGAUUCCCCCAGUAGCGGCGAGCGAACGGGGAGCAGCCCAGAGUCUGAAUCAGCUUGUGUGUUAGUGGAACGGUCUGGAAAGUCCGACGGUACAGGGUGAUAGUCCCGUACACCAAAAUGCACAGGCUGUGAACUCGAAGAGUAGGGCGGGACACGUGGUAUCCUGUCUGAAUAUGGGGGGACCAUCCUCCAAGGCUAAAUACUCCUGACUGACCGAUAGUGAACCAGUACCGUGAGGGAAAGGCGAAAAGAACCCCGGCGAGGGGAGUGAAAAAGAACCUGAAACCGUGUACGUACAAGCAGUGGGAGCACCUUCGGGUGUGACUGCGUACCUUUUGUAUAAUGGGUCAGCGACUUAUAUUCUGUAGCAAGGUUAACCGUAUAGGGGAGCCGCAGGGAAACCGAGUCUUAACUGGGCGUUAAGUUGCAGGGUAUAGACCCGAAACCCGGUGAUCUAGCCAUGGGCAGGUUGAAGGUUGGGUAACACUAACUGGAGGACCGAACCGACUAAUGUUGAAAAAUUAGCGGAUGACUUGUGGCUGGGGGUGAAAGGCCAAUCAAACCGGGAGAUAGCUGGUUCUCCCCGAAAGCUAUUUAGGUAGCGCCUCGUGAACUCAUCUUCGGGGGUAGAGCACUGUUUCGGCUAGGGGGUCAUCCCGACUUACCAACCCGAUGCAAACUACGAAUACCGAAGAAUGUUAUCACGGGAGACACACGGCGGGUGCUAACGUCCGUCGUGAAGAGGGAAACAACCCAGACCGCCAGCUAAGGUCCCAAAGUCAUGGUUAAGUGGGAAACGAUGUGGGAAGGCACAGACAGCCAGGAUGUUGGCUUAGAAGCAGCCAUCAUUUAAAGAAAGCGUAAUAGCUCACUGGUCGAGUCGGCCUGCGCGGAAGAUGUAACGGGGCUAAACCAUGCACCGAAGCUGCGGCAGCGACACUAUGUGUUGUUGGGUAGGGGAGCGUUCUGUAAGCCUGCGAAGGUGACCUGUGAGGGUUGCUGGAGGUAUCAGAAGUGCGAAUGCUGACAUAAGUAACGAUAAAGCGGGUGAAAAGCCCGCUCGCCGGAAGACCAAGGGUUCCUGUCCAACGUUAAUCGGGGCAGGGUGAGUCGACCCCUAAGGCGAGGCCGAAAGGCGUAGUCGAUGGGAAACAGGUUAAUAUUCCUGUACUUGGUGUUACUGCGAAGGGGGGACGGAGAAGGCUAUGUUAGCCGGGCGACGGUUGUCCCGGUUUAAGCAUGUAGGCUGGUUGUCCAGGCAAAUCCGGAUAAUCAAGGCUGAGGUGUGAUGACGAGGCACUACGGUGCUGAAGUAACAAAUGCCCUGCUUCCAGGAAAAGCCUCUAAGCAUCAGGUAACAUUAAAUCGUACCCCAAACCGACACAGGUGGUCAGGUAGAGAAUACCAAGGCGCUUGAGAGAACUCGGGUGAAGGAACUAGGCAAAAUGGUGCCGUAACUUCGGGAGAAGGCACGCUGGUGUGUAGGUGAAGUCCCUGCGGAUGGAGCUGAGACCAGUCGAAGAUACCAGCUGGCUGCAACUGUUUAUUAAAAACACAGCACUGUGCAAACACGAAAGUGGACGUAUACGGUGUGACGCCUGCCCGGUGCCGGAAGGUUAAUUGAUGGGGUUAUCCGUAAGGAGAAGCUCUUGAUCGAAGCCCCGGUAAACGGCGGCCGUAACUAUAACGGUCCUAAGGUAGCGAAAUUCCUUGUCGGGUAAGUUCCGACCUGCACGAAUGGCGUAAUGAUGGCCAGGCUGUCUCCACCCGAGACUCAGUGAAAUUGAACUCGCUGUGAAGAUGCAGUGUACCCGCGGCAAGACGGAAAGACCCCGUGAACCUUUACUAUAGCUUGACACUGAACAUUGAGCCUUGAUGUGUAGGAUAGGUGGGAGGCUUUGAAGCGUGGACGCCAGUCUGCGUGGAGCCAACCUUGAAAUACCACCCUUUAAUGUUUGAUGUUCUAACGUUGGCCCCUUACCGGGGUUGCGGACAGUGUCUGGUGGGUAGUUUGACUGGGGCGGUCUCCUCCCAAAGCGUAACGGAGGAGCACGAAGGUUAGCUAAUCCUGGUCGGACAUCAGGAGGUUAGUGCAAUGGCAUAAGCUAGCUUGACUGCGAGCGUGACGGCGCGAGCAGGUGCGAAAGCAGGUCAUAGUGAUCCGGUGGUUCUGAAUGGAAGGGCCAUCGCUCAACGGAUAAAAGGUACUCCGGGGAUAACAGGCUGAUACCGCCCAAGAGUUCAUAUCGACGGCGGUGUUUGGCACCUCGAUGUCGGCUCAUCACAUCCUGGGGCUGAAGUAGGUCCCAAGGGUAUGGCUGUUCGCCAUUUAAAGUGGUACGCGAGCUGGGUUUAGAACGUCGUGAGACAGUUCGGUCCCUAUCUGCCGUGGGCGCUGGAGAAUUGAGGGGGGCUGCUCCUAGUACGAGAGGACCGGAGUGGACGCAUCACUGGUGUUCGGGUUGUCAUGCCAAUGGCACUGCCCGGUAGCUAAAUGCGGAAGAGAUAAGUGCUGAAAGCAUCUAAGCACGAAACUUGCCCCGAGAUGAGUUCUCCCUGAGACUUUAAGUCUCCUGAAGGAACGUUAAAGACGAUGACGUUGAUAGGCCGGGUGUGUAAGCGCAGCGAUGCGUUGAGCUAACCGGUACUAAUGAACCGUGAGGCUUAACCU
This 2899-nucleotide ribosomal RNA is filed under the name Klebsiella pneumoniae subsp. pneumoniae. RNAcentral describes it as "23S ribosomal RNA". It matches the Rfam family "Bacterial large subunit ribosomal RNA". Lineage: Bacteria; Pseudomonadati; Pseudomonadota; Gammaproteobacteria; Enterobacterales; Enterobacteriaceae. The record is from RNAcentral.